Molecule: ribosomal RNA, 689 nt
Filed under: uncultured bacterium
Lineage: Bacteria
Description: partial 16S ribosomal RNA
Rfam family: Bacterial small subunit ribosomal RNA
Source: RNAcentral
AGUGGCGAACGGGUGAGUAACACGUGAGCAACCUACCCUUGACUNUGGGAUAACAGUUGGAAACAGCUGCUAAUACCGGAUAUUUACCCCGGCNGGCAUCUGCUGGGGUANAAAGCUCCGACGGUCAAGGAUGGGCUCGCGGCCUAUCANCUUGUUGGUGAGGUAACGGCUCACCAAGGCGUCGACGGGUAGCCGGCCUGAGAGGGCGACCGGCCACACUGGGACUGAGAUACGGCCCANACUCCUACNGGAGGCAGCAGUGGGGAAUAUUGCNCAAUGGGGGAAACCCUGACNCAGCAACGCCGCGUGCGGGACAAAGGCCUUCGGGUUGUAAACCGCUUUCAGCAGGGACNAAGGAUUUCUGACGGUNCCUGCAGAAGAAGCACCGGCUAACUACGUGCCAGCAGCCGCGGUGAUACGUACGGUGCCAGCGUUGUNCCGAAUUAUUGGGCAAAGAGCUUGUAUGCNGUCCNUCACGUCGGAAGUGAAAACUCAUGGCUUAACCCUGACCUGCUUUCGAUACGGGCAGACUUGAGGGAUGUANGGGAGAACCGAAUUCCUGGUGGAGCGGNGGGAAUGCUCAGAUNUUAANGAGGAACACCAUUGGCGAAGGCGGGUCUUUUGGACAUUACCCUGACGCUGAAAAACCAAAACCUUGGGGAGCAAACANGCUUUANAUACCCUUGGUA